RNAcentral lists this ribosomal RNA (117 nucleotides) under Cephalotus follicularis. Lineage: Eukaryota; Viridiplantae; Streptophyta; Magnoliopsida; Oxalidales; Cephalotaceae. The record is from RNAcentral.
GGGUGCGAUCAUACCAGCACUAAUGCACCGGAUCCCAUCAGAACUCCGUAGUUAAGCGUGCUUGGGCAAGAAUAGUACUAAGAUGGGCAUGUCAGAAGACUUCCACAGACACAGGCA